This 72-nucleotide transfer RNA is filed under the name Candidatus Methanomethylophilaceae archaeon. RNAcentral describes it as "tRNA-Gly". It matches the Rfam family "tRNA". From Rfam's summary of the family: Transfer RNA (tRNA) molecules are approximately 80 nucleotides in length. The record is from RNAcentral. Lineage: Archaea; Methanobacteriati; Thermoplasmatota; Thermoplasmata; Methanomassiliicoccales; Methanomethylophilaceae.
GCGGAUGUGGUCUAGGGGUCAUAACUCAACCUUGCCAAGGUUGGAACCCGGGUUCGAUUCCCGGCGUCCGCA